RNAcentral lists this ribosomal RNA (57 nucleotides) under Macrophomina phaseolina. Its description in RNAcentral is "partial 28S ribosomal RNA". RNAcentral also lists the same sequence under 1 other name. The record is from RNAcentral. Lineage: Eukaryota; Fungi; Ascomycota; Dothideomycetes; Botryosphaeriales; Botryosphaeriaceae.
UUGACCUCGGAUCAGGUAGGGAUACCCGCUGAACUUAAGCAUAUCAAUAGCGGAGGA